Molecule: ribosomal RNA, 252 nt
Filed under: uncultured prokaryote
Description: partial 16S rRNA
Rfam family: Archaeal small subunit ribosomal RNA
Source: RNAcentral
ACCGGCAGGUCAAGUGGUGGCCAUUAUUAUCGGGCCUAAAGCGUUCGUAGCCGGUUUGAUAAGUCUCUGGUGAAAUCCCGCAGCUUAACUGUGGGACUUGCUGGAGAUACUAUCAGACUUGAGGUCGGGAGAGGUUAGGGGUACUCCCAGGGAAGUGGUGAAAUCCUAUAAUCCUAGGAGGACCACCUGUGGCGAAGGCGCCUAACUGGAACGAACCUGACAUUGAGUAACGAAAGCCAGGGGCGCGAACCG